Long non-coding RNA from Pongo pygmaeus (Bornean orangutan), 656 nucleotides. RefSeq lists it as uncharacterized. The transcript is spliced from 3 exons. NCBI's taxonomy places the organism in Eukaryota, Metazoa, Chordata, Mammalia, Primates, Hominidae. The record is from RefSeq and is a predicted model, not a curated record.
AGAACAGCAGCAUCAGUUCUGUGCUAGCCCAACUCAAAAUGCAUAACUUAGGUCUAAUCAUCAGGAAACACUGGAUAAAUUCAUGUUGAUGGACAUUCUAUAAAGUGACUGGCUUAUAAUCUUCAAAAGUUUCGAGGUCAUGAAGGUCAAAGAAAAAUGGAGAAAGUGUUACAGAUGGAAAGAAACUAGAAAAUAGGAAAACUGUGUACAAUGAAUGAUCGUGGAUCUUACCCUUUACUUUAAAGCAUACUAUUGGGAUAAUCGGCAAAAUCUUAGUAAGUAUGCAAACAAAAGAAAGUCAUGCGAAGACACAGUAAGAAGGUGGCCUUCUGCAGAAGAGGAAGAGAGCCCUUACCAGUAAAUGAAUUUGCCUGCAUAUUAAUCAUGGACUUCUAACCUCCAGAACUGCUCUAAAGAUGAAUUCAUCUCCUUGCCUUUUCCCACUUAAAGAGGCUGUCCACCCACAGUGCUUGGCUUGUGAGCCGUUGCUCUGUCUUCAAAGCCGGGAACCAGUUAGAAAAGCUGAAACAGAAGAUCUGGCAGGGCCUGGAGGAGCAGCUGGCUGAGACAUUGCCCUGUCCCAACAAGUGAGCCACCAGAAAGCAGCAACUCAUAUCCUGCACGAACCUCCCCAAAAUAAAAUAGUACAGGUACUU